AUGGCCUGGCAGAUGAUGCAGCUGCUCCUUCUGGCUUUGGUGACUGCUGCGGGGAGUGCCCAGCCCAGGAGUGCGCGGGCCAGGACAGACCUGCUCAAUGUCUGCAUGAACGCCAAGUACCACAAGACACAGCCCAGCCCCGAGGACGAGCUGUAUGGCCCAGUGCAGUCCCUAGAAGAAGAAUGCCUGCUGCAUGACCAACACCAGCCAGGAGCUGCACAAGGACACCUCCCGCCUGUACAACUUUAACUGGGAUCACUGUGGUAAGAUGGAGCCUGCCUGCAAGCGCCACUUUAUCCAGGACACCGGUCUCUAUGAGUGCUCACCCAACCUCGGGCCCUGGAUCUGGCAGGAACCAGAGCUGGCGCAAAGAGCGCAUUCUGAACGUGCCCCUGUGCAAAGAGGACUGUGAGCGCUGGUGGGAGGACUGUCGCACCUCCUACACCUGCAAAAGCAACUGGCACAAAGGCUGGAAUUGGACCUCAGAUUAAUGAGUGUCCGGCCUGGGCCCUCUGCCACACCUUUGAGCCCUACUUCCCCACUCCAGCUGCCCUUUGUGAAGGCCUCUGGAGCCAUUCCUUCAAGGUCAGCAACUACAACUACAGCUGAGGGAGUGGCCGCUGCAUCUAGAUGUGGUUUGACUCAGCCCAGGGCAACCCCAGUGAGGAGGUGGCCAAGUUCUAUGCUGCGGCCAUGAAUGCUGGGGCCCCGUCCCAUG
This 718-nucleotide long non-coding RNA is filed under the name Homo sapiens (human). Its description in RNAcentral is "non-protein coding lnc-FOLR1-1:1". Lineage: Eukaryota; Metazoa; Chordata; Mammalia; Primates; Hominidae. The record is from RNAcentral.